AGAUCAAAGCUCCAGGCCACACAUGUUAAGGACCCUCAGCCCAGGGAGGUGGCUUUAAUCUUGGUUCUCCAGUGUCAGGAAGAGAUCCUUCAGUCAUGGGAGAACCUUUCUUGGCCGAGUUCGUAGUCAGAGGGAGAUGUGACUACAGAAGAAUGGUUGGACACGUGCAACACUGUGGGCUUUACAGAGGAAGGAAGGGGACAUGAGCCAAGGAACUCUGGCAGCCUCUAGAAGCUAAAAAAGGCAAGGAAACAGAUUCUCCCUUAAAGCUUCCAGAAAGGGACACAGCCCUGUAACACUUGGAUUUUAGCCCAACUGGGUGUGUG
This 326-nucleotide long non-coding RNA is filed under the name Homo sapiens (human). RNAcentral's name for it is "HSALNT0298578". The record is from RNAcentral. Lineage: Eukaryota; Metazoa; Chordata; Mammalia; Primates; Hominidae.